CUUCCCGGGAUGCAACUCGACACAGAUCUACGGGCGCUAUGCCGCGGAGACUUCUGGGAAAUGUGGUUCACUUGGUGGGAAGUGCGUGGUCCUGAGUGAUUAGCCUUCAGUGUGUUCUACAUUUCCUUCCUUCCCUCUUCCCUUCCUCCCUCCCUUCCUCUCUCCCUUCUUUCUCUCCGAACUUCCUUUCUUUUUUCUUAGCGCUGAAGAUUGAAGCCAGGGCCUUUGCGUUGAGCAAUAUUCUCCAAAAUGACUACAGUUAACAGAGGCAAUGUGGCAGAAGAAUCCUCAGACAUUGUAACAAAGUAAUUUUCAGAGCGUUACACAAAUAUCAGGCUGGUACAAAGCGCAAGAAGACAACAGAUAAGAGUAAGAAUUUCCUUCCUGACCUUGAAAGUGUCCACAGGAGGGUUCGAACUCAGGUCCUUGCACUUGCGAGACAGGCAGCAGAAUGACUGAGCAUUUGUCCCCAAACUGGAAACACCACCAGUGUCGCCAGGACACAAGUGAAAAAGUUGACGAAGGCCACCAGCACAGCAUCAAAGAGGCCGUUGUCUCUCACCGUAGCUUGAAAAGGCGAUGACACUACCAAGUCCCAGAUCUACGUAGGCAAAGACCCUGAACAGCAGCUUCUCUCCAGACCUUGGGGUCCUGCAUUAUUUCAAGCUUUGGAGUAAACAUGUGGCAGAUGCCAUCAGUUGAACCAUUUAAAAGCAAUGCUCUGAUUAGGAAGCAUAUAAUUACCACGUAUGGGAACGCAGAAGUAAAUAUAUAUAAUUUUCCCAGAAAACUAAAUGUUUGUGAUUGUUGCCAAGCAAACCAUGACGGAGGCAGCCAGCAAACAGAUCGUCAUUUUCCAGUUGAAGCCCUCACUUUCAGAAAUGGAACUGGAAAUAUCCAGUGCUUGUUUCUCUGUUCCAGUAGUAGGUGGUAGCAGAACUCUUUCCCCCCACAUUCUGGCUUUGUAUAAGUGUGUGAUGCAUUUUUUUAUGAAAGGACACUGAUUCCAAGCUAGAGGUUGCCAAAGAGACUGAGAAAAGCAAAACACAGUG
Molecule: long non-coding RNA, 1052 nt
Filed under: Heterocephalus glaber (naked mole-rat)
Lineage: Eukaryota; Metazoa; Chordata; Mammalia; Rodentia; Bathyergidae
Description: lncRNA (ENSHGLG00100035066.1)
Source: RNAcentral